Molecule: transfer RNA, 56 nt
Filed under: Microthoracius praelongiceps
Lineage: Eukaryota; Metazoa; Arthropoda; Insecta; Psocodea; Microthoraciidae
Description: tRNA-Ala
Source: RNAcentral
GGGAUACGGAUUUAUUCUUUUGCAAGGAAUAUUACCCACCAUAGUGGGGUAUCUUC